AGGGUUUGAUCAUGGCUCAGAACGUACGCUGGCGGCACGCCUAACACAUGCAAGUCGAACGAAGUAGCAAUACUUAGUGGCAGACGGGUGAGUAACAUGUAGGUAUCUUCCCUUUGGCCUGGAAUAACACGAGGAAACUUGUGCUAAUACUGGAUAAGUCUUUACGGAGAAAGCUUUAUGCACCAUUGGAUGAGCCUGCACUUGAUUAGUUUGUUGGUGGGGUAAUGGCCCACCAAGACUUAGAUCAAUAGCUGAUUUGAGAGGAUGAUCAGCCACAUUGGGACUGAGACACGGCCCAAACUCCUACGGGAGGCAGCAGUGGGGAAUCUUGCACAAUGGAGGAAACUCUGAUGCAGCGAUGCCGCGUGAGUGAAGAAGGCCUUUGGGUUGUAAAGCUCUUUCGUCGGGGAAGAAAAUGACUGUACCCGAAUAAGAAGGUCCGGCUAACUUCGUGCCAGCAGCCGCGGUAAUACGAAGGGACCUAGCGUAGUUCGGAAUUACUGGGCUUAAAGAGUUCGUAGGUGGUUGAAAAAGUUGGUGGUGAAAUCCCAGAGCUUAACUCUGGAACUGCCAUCAAAACUUUUCAGCUAGAGUUUGAUAGAGGAAAGCAGAAUUUCUAGUGUAGAGGUGAAAUUCGUAGAUAUUAGAAAGAAUACCAAUUGCGAAGGCAGCUUUCUGGAUCAUUACUGACACUGAGGAGCGAAAGCAUGGGUAGCGAAGAGGAUUAGAUACCCUCGUAGUCCAUGCUGUAAACGAUGUGUGCUAGACGUUGGAAAUUUUAUUUUCAGUGUCGCAGCGAAAGCGUUAAGCACACCGCCUGGGGAGUACGACCGCAAGGUUAAAACUCAAAUGAAUUGACGGGGACCCGCACAAGCAGUGGAGCAUGUGGUUUAAUUCGAAGAUACGCGCAGAACCUUACCAACACUUGACAUGUUCGUCGCGAGCCUAAGAGAUUAGGCUCUUCAUUUAGUUGGACGAAACACAGGUGCUGCAUGGCUGUCGUCAGCUCGUGUCGUGAGAUGUUGGGUUAAGUCCCGCAACGAGCGCAACCCCUACGUUUAGUUACUAACAUUUAGUUGAGUACUCUAGACGAACUGCCAGUGAUAAGCUGGAGGAAGGCGGGGAUGACGUCAAGUCCUCAUGGCCCUUACGUGUUGGGCUACACACGUGCUACAAUGGUACUUACAAUAAGAUGCAAAGAGGCGACUCUUAGCUAAUCUUAAAAAUGUAUCUCAGUUCGGAUUGCACUCUGCAACUCGAGUGCAUGAAGCUGGAAUUGCUAGUAAUCGCGGAUCAGCGCGCCGCGGUGAAUACGUUCCCGGGUCUUGUACACACCGCCCGUCACACCAUGGAAGUUGGUUACACCUUAAGGCAAAGCGUAAAACCUUUGACUACGGUACGAUCAGCGACUGGGGUGAAGUCAUAACAAGGUAGCCGUA
This 1439-nucleotide ribosomal RNA is filed under the name uncultured bacterium. Its description in RNAcentral is "16S ribosomal RNA". It matches the Rfam family "Bacterial small subunit ribosomal RNA". The record is from RNAcentral.